This 85-nucleotide small nucleolar RNA is filed under the name Papilio xuthus (Asian swallowtail). RNAcentral describes it as "Small nucleolar RNA U3". The stretch from base 1 to 40 matches the Rfam family "Small nucleolar RNA U3", at positions 1 to 41 of the family's 219-position model. Lineage: Eukaryota; Metazoa; Arthropoda; Insecta; Lepidoptera; Papilionidae. The record is from Rfam by way of RNAcentral.
AAGACCUUACUUCAUAGGAUCAUUUCUAUAGUAAGUUCUUCACGAGAGUAAGUUUUAUGAAACAUUACGUACGAAAAAAUAGAUU